RNAcentral lists this unclassified non-coding RNA (220 nucleotides) under uncultured Solirubrobacteraceae bacterium. RNAcentral describes it as "contains 16S-23S intergenic spacer region". The record is from RNAcentral. Lineage: Bacteria; Bacillati; Actinomycetota; Thermoleophilia; Solirubrobacterales; Solirubrobacteraceae.
UCCGGUUUGUCACCGGCAGUCUCGCAUGAGUCCCCAACUAAAUGCUGGCAACAUGCGACGGGGGUUGCGCUCGUUGCGGGACUUAACCCAACAUCUCACGACACGAGCUGACGACAGCCAUGCACCACCUGUGAAGGUGCCCCGAAGGGAAGCCGUGUUUCCACGGCGGUCACCCACAUGUCAAGCCCAGGUAAGGUGGGGAUGACGUAGCUAAGCCUUC